This 292-nucleotide ribosomal RNA is filed under the name uncultured bacterium. RNAcentral describes it as "partial 16S ribosomal RNA". It matches the Rfam family "Bacterial small subunit ribosomal RNA", at positions 505 to 796 of the family's 1533-position model. The record is from RNAcentral.
GUGCCAGCAGCCGCGGUAAUACAGAGGGUGCAAGCGUUAAUCGGAAUUACUGGGCGUAAAGCGUGUGUAGGUGGUUUGCUAAGUCAGGUGUGAAAUCCCUGGGCUCAACCUAGGAAUUGCAUUUGAUACUGGCAGGCUCGAGUGUGGUAGAGGAUAGUGGAAUUCCCGGUGUAGCGGUGAAAUGCGUAGAUAUCGGGAGGAACAUCAGUGGCGAAGGCGGCUAUCUGGACUAACACUGACACUGAGACACGAAAGCGUGGGGAGCAAACAGGAUUAGAAACCCGCGUAGUCC